Molecule: ribosomal RNA, 465 nt
Filed under: Vreelandella stevensii
Lineage: Bacteria; Pseudomonadati; Pseudomonadota; Gammaproteobacteria; Oceanospirillales; Halomonadaceae
Description: partial 16S ribosomal RNA
Rfam family: Bacterial small subunit ribosomal RNA
Source: RNAcentral
CCUACGGGCGGCUGCAGUGGGGAAUAUUGGACAAUGGGGGGAACCCUGAUCCAGCCAUGCCGCGUGUGUGAAGAAGGCCCUCGGGUUGUAAAGCACUUUCAGUGAGGAAGAACGCCUGGUGGUUAAUACCCAUCAGGAAAGACAUCACUCACAGAAGAAGCACCGGCUAACUCCGUGCCAGCAGCCGCGGUAAUACGGAGGGUGCGAGCGUUAAUCGGAAUUACUGGGCGUAAAGCGCGCGUAGGUGGCUUGAUAAGCCGGUUGUGAAAGCCCGGGGCUCAACCUGGGAACGGCAUCCGGAACUGUCAAGCUAGAGUGCAGGAGAGGAAGGUAGAAUUCCCGGUGUAGCGGUGAAAUGCGUAGAGAUCGGGAGGAAUACCAGUGGCGAAGGCGGCCUUCUGGACUGACACUGACACUGAGGUGCGAAAGCGUGGGUAGCAAACAGGAUUAGAUACCCUAGUAGUC